UCCCCAGUAGCUCAGACAGUAAAGCGUCCGCCUGCAAUGUAGGGGACCUAGGUUCGAUGCCUGGGUGGGGAA
This 72-nucleotide transfer RNA is filed under the name Bos taurus (domestic cattle). It matches the Rfam family "tRNA". Rfam says of the family: Transfer RNA (tRNA) molecules are approximately 80 nucleotides in length. Their secondary structure includes four short double-helical elements and three loops (D, anti-codon, and T loops). The record is from Rfam by way of RNAcentral. Lineage: Eukaryota; Metazoa; Chordata; Mammalia; Artiodactyla; Bovidae. RNAcentral also lists the same sequence under 2 other names.